UUUCGCAAUGCCCGAAAGGGUGACGAAGCGACGCCGCGUGCGGGAAGAAGGCCUUCGGGUUGUAAACCGCUGUCGGGAGUUAAGAAAUGUAAGGAUGUUAAUAGCGUCUUUACUUGACUAAGGCUCCGGAGGAAGCCACGGCUAACUCUGUGCCAGCAGCCGCGGUAAUACAGAGGCGGCAAGCGUUGUUCGGAAUUAUUGGGCGUAAAGAGCACGUAGGCGGCCUUGUAAGUCAGUUGUGAAAGCCUUCUGCUUAACGGAAGAACAGCAUCUGAUACUGCAAGGCUAGAGUGCGGAAGGGGAGAGUGGAACUUCUGGUGGAGCGGUGAAAUGCGUAGAUAUCAGAAGGAACACCGGCGGCGAAGGCGACUCUCUGGUCCGUAACUGACGCUGAGUGUGCGAAAGCUAGGGGAGCAAACGGGAUUAGAUACCCCGGUAGUCCUAGCCGUAAACGAUGGGCACUAAGUAGAGGGGUUUUA
This 479-nucleotide ribosomal RNA is filed under the name uncultured bacterium. Its description in RNAcentral is "bacterial SSU rRNA". It matches the Rfam family "Bacterial small subunit ribosomal RNA", at positions 364 to 833 of the family's 1533-position model. The record is from RNAcentral.